CAGUCGCCGCGGGAAUACAGAGGGUGCGAGCGUUAAUCGGAUUUACUGGGCGUAAAGCGUGCGUAGGCGGCUUCUUAAGUCGGAUGUGAAAUCCCUGAGCUUAACUUAGGAAUUGCAUUCGAUACUGGGAAGCUAGAGUAUGGGAGAGGAUGGUAGAAUUCCAGGUGUAGCGGUGAAAUGCGUAGAGAUCUGGAGGAAUACCGAUGGCGAAGGCAGCCAUCUGGCCUAAUACUGACGCUGAGGUACGAAAGCAUGGGGAGCAAACAGGAUUAGAUACCCCCGGUAGUCCCUGUCUCUUAUA
Molecule: ribosomal RNA, 301 nt
Filed under: uncultured bacterium
Lineage: Bacteria
Description: partial 16S ribosomal RNA
Rfam family: Bacterial small subunit ribosomal RNA
Source: RNAcentral